Molecule: long non-coding RNA, 1040 nt
Organism: Pipra filicauda (Wire-tailed manakin)
Lineage: Eukaryota; Metazoa; Chordata; Aves; Passeriformes; Pipridae
Exons: 2
Source: RefSeq, a predicted model, not a curated record
GCUCCAGCCAUUCCCUGGGCCCUCUCACUGCUCACACAGAGCAGAGAUGGUGCUGCCCCUUGUGAAGGAGCUGUAAACCCAGUGAGUCUCCCCUCAGUCUCCUCCAGGCUGAACAAACCAGCUGAUCCUCCUAUGGCCCCUCCAGACCCCUCACCAUCUUUGUGGCCCUGUUGCACCUGUAUAUGUUUCCUCUUUUUUUUUUUCCUGGGGUUCAGCACUGCCCAGUUUCAGUGCCAGUGCAGAGGGGAGGAGGCUGUAGCAGCACGUUCUGCAGCACUCAGCAAACAUCACCUCUAACCCUCUCUUAGCCACUUGUCCUUUUUUAAUUUAAGCUUUGUUCACAGUCCUCACCUUUGAGUUUGCAGUGGGCUCGUGGCUCCGCACAGUUCCCAGGCACAGACCAAUAGUUCCUGUUUGUGCCUGAAUCCCAAGCUCCAGAGUGCUUAAUAGUCCUGCUUUUUGUGCACAGGUGGAUGAAAAGCUCCUCACAAGUGUUUAUUAAGUUGACUUUCAACCCGUUUGAUCUUAACUUGCCUCUGCUUGAGCCUGAGGUCAGCAAAGCUUUUGCAGGGUUUUUCAUGAGGAACAAUGUGUGAUCUUAGAGGGCCCCUCUGUCCAAGAGGAAGCUGCUCUGCAGACCUGCCUCCUCCUCCCUGGGCUGAAGGUCACCUCAAAGUUGUCAGGAGCCUGCAGCACAAUUCUGUGGAGUUGAGUUGAAGCACUUUGCCAACAUGAACUUCUCCAGGAGUCUGCCAGGAAAUCACUGGGAGUCCUGGCAGGUUUUUUUAAAGGGGAGGAUGAAAAAGACUCAAUCUAGUUUGUUGUUUUCCUCAGGGAAAUCCAAUCUUAGUUAAUCUACUCCAUUGCCUUUUGUUUCAAUCUAAUUUUCUGGAAAUGUUCCCAAUUAGGUCCCAGGGGACAUGGGACCAAUGAUUUUUUCAUUACCUUUUUUUUUUUUUUUCAUUUGAAAGCUGGAAUCUGCUAAUGCAGAGAAUAAUGGGACUAGUUACUGUAAGCAAAUUAAACUCCUAUUUGCUGCA